RNAcentral lists this ribosomal RNA (544 nucleotides) under uncultured bacterium. RNAcentral's name for it is "partial 16S ribosomal RNA". It matches the Rfam family "Bacterial small subunit ribosomal RNA", at positions 355 to 892 of the family's 1533-position model. The record is from RNAcentral.
UGGGGAAUUUUGGACAAUGGGGGGAAACCCUGAUCCAGCCAUCCCGCGUGUGCGAUGAAGGCCUUCGGGUUGUAAAGCACUUUUGGCAGGAAAGAAACGUCGCGGGUUAAUACCCCGCGAAACUGACGGUACCUGCAGAAUAAGCACCGGCUAACUACGUGCCAGCAGCCGCGGUAAUACGUAGGGUGCAAGCGUUAAUCGGAAUUACUGGGCGUAAAGCGUGCGCAGGCGGUUCGGAAAGAAAGAUGUGAAAUCCCAGAGCUUAACUUUGGAACUGCAUUUUUAACUACCGGGCUAGAGUGUGUCAGAGGGAGGUGGAAUUCCGCGUGUAGCAUGAAAUGCGUAGAUAUGCGGAGGAACACCGAUGGCGAAGGCAGCCUCCUGGGAUAACACUGACGCUCAUGCACGAAAGCGUGGGGAGCAAACAGGAUUAGAUACCCUGGUAGUCCACGCCCUAAACGAUGUCAACUAGCUGUUGGGGCCUUCGGGCCUUGGUAGCGCAGCUAACGCGUGAAGUUGACCGCCUGGGGAGUACGGUCGCAAG